RNAcentral lists this ribosomal RNA (193 nucleotides) under uncultured Sclerocystis. RNAcentral's name for it is "partial small subunit ribosomal RNA". It matches the Rfam family "Eukaryotic small subunit ribosomal RNA", at positions 539 to 733 of the family's 1831-position model. Lineage: Eukaryota; Fungi; Glomeromycota; Glomeromycetes; Glomerales; Glomeraceae. The record is from RNAcentral.
CAGUUUUUUGGAGGGCAAGUUUGGUGCCAGCAGCCGCGGUAAUUCCAGCUUCAAUAGCGUAUAUUAAAGUUGUUGCAGUUAAAAAGCUUGUAGUUGAAUUUUGGGGUCAGCAGGUUGGUCGUGCCAAUGGUAUGAACUGGCCUUGUGAUUCCUCCCUCUUGAUGAGCCGUAAUGUCAUUAAUUUGGUGUGCGG